RNAcentral lists this unclassified non-coding RNA (314 nucleotides) under uncultured Ascomycota. RNAcentral describes it as "sequence contains ITS1". The stretch from base 1 to 105 matches the Rfam family "5.8S ribosomal RNA", at positions 50 to 154 of the family's 154-position model. The record is from RNAcentral. Lineage: Eukaryota; Fungi; Ascomycota.
GAAAUGCGAUAAGUAAUGUGAAUUGCAGAAUUCCGUGAAUCAUCGAAUCUUUGAACGCACAUUGCGCCCUCUGGUAUUCCGGGGGGCAUGCCUGUCCGAGCGUCAUUACACCAAUCAAGCACGGCUUGUGAGUUGGGCCACCGUCCCCUAAAAAGGACGGGCCCGAAACGCAGUGGCGGCGUCGCGGUUUCUCGAUCAGCCAGAGUGUAUGGGGAUUUUAUUCACACGCUCACGGCCGGGACCGGCGCCAGUCGAUAACCAAAUUUUUUAUCAAGGUUGACCUCGGAUCAGGUAGGGAUACCCGCUGAACUUAA